CAGUCACCUCUCACCGUCUUGCACGCACACCUGCGCCGCCGCGAUUGUUGGUGUCGGUGUUGCACGGCUUUGUGAAAAGCACGCCGAGGUGAAAGGUUUCAUGUGUCCUGCGGGCGCAUGUUGCUCCUCCUCUUCACCAUCACUACCACCUGCUUUCCACCUUGCGACGGCUACUCGUUGUCUCGCGUUUGCAGUGGUCUCUCCCACCGACCUCCUCAUUUCCCGAGGCACGUAAUCGCACACGAAAACAGAAACAGUGCAGGCGCCCCACGCGCACCUUUGCCCAUCCUCUUGUCUUUUUGUUCGUGUCUGUGUGUGCGUGAGGCCCGUGUAACGGCGCCAUUGGUGGUGAUUGCUCUCUUCGCUGCUCCCUCACCGCGCUCCCCCCGCGAAGCUUCUUUGCCCUGCCGACACACCGCCCCUUGCGCUUUUUCGUUUCUCUUUGUGCCACCCCACAGGCUGCCGGCAAUAUACCCGGCGCAUCUUCUGUUUCUCGCUCCCUCUUCUUUUCUCCCGUGCCGAGAUGCGCGCGUUUCCGCACUGCUUAAUCCGCAGCCAUGACUUCAGCGCCGCCGCGGCCGUCUCCACGGUGCGUGACUCACUGCUGUGUCUGCGUUCGCGACCAUGGCAUGUGCAGGUCAGCCACACCCGACAGUGGGACUGUGGCACCUGCGUACCGUUGACAUUGGCAACCUCUGCUCGUCAUGUAGCCAACGGUGGUGCUGGAACGGCGCGCGAGUUAGCCAACAACAGAGCUUUAUCUCCUUCCUUAUCAUCGGCUGCGCCGCGCUACAGAAGUCGAGAAUGCGGUUCCAUAGGUUCGCGGGCAUCGCCCCAGCCUCGCCGCGUCGCGCGUUGCCGUGCGAAGACAUCGACGUCAUCACCUGCUAAGGUGGUCGACUCUCUUGCCGCAAAGCCCCCAGCAAGUCGUGCGGCCUCCCUAGCAUCCCUGCUGCACCGCCUGGGCACUGUCGAGUCAUCCAACAUACAAGGACAGCAGCCAACGCUGCCGGUGUCCUCGGCACAGCGUGCCUCGCGCUCAUUACCGAUGCCGUUCUCAUCCACCGAAUCAGAAGCACCCGCAGCGCUUGGGUCGCCCACCCCCGUGCCGCGUCGUGGCAGUGGCGACUCCCUUGACAACAGCGCCGCAGCGAGCGAGCCGUCGCGAGCCAGCAACUCUCAGCAGAGGCACCCGAACGGAAGCGCUGAAGCGCACAGCAGUGGCGAUCCGCAGGCUCAGCAGAGCACUUCCUCUGCCAUACGGAGGCAGAAAGUGCCAAUGGUGCAGCUGCAGUCGGAUCGAAGGGGGAGGCUACGGAAACCGUCGGCUUCACGAAUGCGAUCACUACCGGGCGGAAACCUCGCAGACGCUGCAGGUGUAUCCCGCUAGCAGUGGACAGAGGGGCAGAGGAGCGAGUCGUAGCGAUGCUCCGCAGCGAUCACCAACAGGCCGACCCCGAUGCAGAGUUUGUCAUGCCGGAACCGUCGAUGCGCCAUGUUCCGCACUCACAGCUCUUGCGGUGCGUGCUCGAGCUUCCUCUGAACGGCCGCUGCCACGGUGAAGACACGGCGGAAAAGGAGGUCUUCGCCAUUGGGCAGUCGAGGAAGGCCAAAGUAGCGCGAGCGCUGUGCUUCAUGCAUGCAGAGCAACUGCUGGAUCACUACAUGAGCACCAGAGCGACACCGUUGUCGUCAAGGACAGGCGCCUCCCCAGCUCCUCCUCCGUUGGAAGAGAGAGCGCUGCCUCCUCGGCCCAAAACUCCGAAACCACAUGACUAUCGCUCGUGGGAUGAGUACGUGGACGCGAGUGCUGCAUACGUGCAGGCCCUCGCCGCCCGCGUGAGGCAGGAGGCCUGCACGCGGGAAGAGGUGCCGCGAAGCGGCCACCCCGUCGCGGACCGCGCGACAGAGCUGCUGCGUCGUCACCCGAAACGCUACUGCCGACCGACGGUGUUGCAUGAGCUGAACGGGAGCAUCCGCGAUGCCUCGAGCUUGAUGACGGUGGCGCAUCUCGAAAAGACGGUUUUUGUGGCGACCCUCGCACUUGAUCCUCAAACGGGCCUGACGGCGACAGGAGUGGCGAAGAACACGAAGACAGCGAAGCGACAGUGCGCCGCCCACGCGCUCUGCAUUCUUCGGCUGCUGCAGGAGGAUGCAGAGGGGCGACAGGGAGCGGACGGCACAGGACGCUCGCGGCGUAGAGGCGCGCAAAAAGGCACCCGCAGCAAAAAGGAUGUCUCUCACCACCCGAGUGCCCCGCUAGAGUCGGUUCUACGGCAGAUGCAGCCGGCCUAUCGAAAGCUGGUUCAGUACCAUCAUCUGCUGUUCGGCAAGGCCAGCCUGACGCCGCAAACGACCUUCACGAAGCAAUCAAGCACGACGAGCGGCAGCACCAGCACUACCGUGUAUCGUUGCCACCUUACUCUCAACGGCCUCAGUUGCGACGGCACCGGCAUCAACCGCUUCGAGGCCGAGCGCGCCGCGAUGGAGACCGCGAUGGCAAACCUGAUGCUGUACGAUAAACGAAUUCAGGCGGUGCAGGCGUUUGUAAAUGCGCAUCCGUCCAUUUCACCCGAGUCGAUCCCGUCCGCGGCGCUGCCCGCGGAGCUGGUGGUUGAGCUGCAGACCCAGCUGCGGCCAGUGACAGAGCAACAGGCAGCCACAGAGGGUGCAACAGGGAGGAGCGGGUGCGAUGACGGAUCUGACUCUGCAGGCGACUGCGGUGACCGAGCGCGGGGCAUGAGUGAGCGGACCCUGCUGCGCCUCAGCGAGCGCGCCUUUGCCACGGAUCCGUCGUAUGCUGCGCAGAUGCUGCACGACAUCCUCCACCUCCGUCGAGACCCUGUCUACCUCACCCAGUUCCAUCCCCGCCGCUCCACGCUGGCGAUGGCGACGGUGAAGGCUCAGGUGCUCGACGCCGUUCAGCGUCACCGUGUCGCUGUCGUGUGCGGCACGACAGGGUGCGGCAAGACGACGCAGGUGCCGCAGUACAUCUUGGAUUACGAGAUCGAGCACGGCCGUGGCGGAUCCUGCAACAUCCUUGUCACGCAACCCCGUCGACUGAGCGCCUUCAGCGUUGCCGAGCGCAUCGCGCAGGAGCGUCUCAGCACGGUGGGAAAGGAUGUCGGGUACGCGGUUCGGCUGGACUCACGUCCCGGGCGGCACAUCACAGUUUGCACAACAGGUGUGCUGCUGCAGAUCUUUUCCACCCACCCCGAUCUGGAGCACGUCUCACACCUCAUCAUCGACGAAGUGCACGAGCGCGACAUCAACUGUGAUGUCAUUCUAGCUCUCGUGAAGCAGCUGCUGACACGAAACUCUCGCCUUCGCGUAGUGCUCAUGAGUGCGACGAUGCAAGCCGACGUGUUCGCCCGCUACUUCGACGCCGAUACGCCCGUGGUGCAGGUCGAGGGGGCAGUGUACCCGGUGGCGAUCCGCUACCUGGAGGACAUCGCCUCUGAGGCAGCAACUGCACAAUUUUACUCGCCCGCCUUCGAUGCCGUGUCGUCCAGGGAGCAGGGGCACCAGGUCGAGCAGCAGGAAAAGACGCCGACGAAGUCCGUCUCGCUGGCGAUGCCAACGACCACCGCAUCGCAACGCGUCAACAGGCGCAAGUUACUCAAAACCGACUACAACCUUGUUGCCUACCUCGUCCACCGCGCGGUGCAGGUAGACCUUCAGAAUAACACGGAGGGAAAGUCGAUCCUGGUGUUUCUUCCAGGAUGGAAAGAGCUGACGUCUGCGAUGGCUGCGAUCAAGGAGUACCAAGGGCCGUACGCGCUUUCCGCCGCGGAAAGCCGCCUCCACAUCAUUCUCCUUCAUUCCACUGUCGACAGCGCGAAGCAACGAGAGUGCUUCAUGCCGGCCCCGUCCGGUACCGUGAAGGUGGUGCUGGCGACGAACAUCGCUGAAAGCGGCAUCACCAUCGACGACGUCGCUGUUGUCAUCGACACGGGCCUUAUCAAGACAACCACCUGGGAAAGCCGCCCCACGGCCACAUACCACCAGCAUGUCACCACAGGCACGGGCGCCUCUUCGUCGUCGGGGAGCCCGACCUUUGCGUAUGUGCCGUUGGACAAAGUCGCGGUAAACUGUGGGCCAGGAGGCGGCAGCGGCGGCGACGCCGUUGCCCCCGCGCCCGUGUUCUCGACGCAGCUUACUCUGGGCUACGCGAGUCAAGCCAACUGCACGCAGCGCAAGGGCCGUGCAGGGCGAACGCAAGGAGGCGUGUGCUACCGCCUCUUCACGAAGGAGCUGUGGGAAUCGCUGCCGGCAUUUCCAGAAGCGGACAUUCACCGCGUACCGCUGAUGCAGGUGCUGCUGAAGCUGCUCUCUCUCGGGCAUGCAAAUCCAAAGGAAACGCUGCAGACAUUUCUCGAACCCCCCUCGAACACCAAUGUGGACGCGUCCAUGGAGGUGCUUCGCGGCAUUGGUGCUAUCGGAAAGAAGGACAGGCUUACCCCGCUGGGGGAGUACCUGGCGUUGCUGCCCUGUGACCCGCGCAUUGGCAAGAUGAUUCUCGUCGGCACCGUGCUGCGCUGCCUGGAUUCGGUUCUGACGGUGGCUGCGUGCACGGACGUGUGCCCGUAUGCAACGAGCCGCGACGUUGCGGCCGAGGCGCGCAAGAAGCGCUAUCUCCUGUCUUGCGGCUCGCAGAGCGACCACAUCAGCUUCCUGAACGCGUACAACGCGUUCUGCGCCAACGGUGAAAAGGAUGACUUCGCGGCGCUCAACUUGCUCCACACCGGAAACCUUCGCGUCAUCUCCAAGUACAAGGUGCAGUACCGCGACAUCUUGCGCCACGCUGGGCUCAUCAGCCCGCAGGACGAGUUCGGAAGGGACUCCGAAAGGGUCGACAGCACCGAUGCCGUGCCGUGUCCUGAGCAUGGGCACCUUGGAAACGACGGCGGCACGGUCGAGGAUACAGCAAUACACUCGGAAGGUGGAAAGGCGACUGCCAGCGCUGUAGACUCCAGUGCACAGGGUGCGCCGGCGUCUGGAUCAGCGCCGCUUUCCUACCCCGGAACCCUCUGCGUCGAUACAAACGCUCUCUCCCGCCACAGCUUCGAUGUCGCGUUGGUGAAGGCGUGCGUCUGCGCUGCGCUCUUCCCGAACGUGGCACUGCUGCGGCCGCCUUCGAAGGCACUCUCCUCCAUGCAGCGCCUGCGUGCCGCGCGCAAAGUGGAACUACGGACAAAACACUUCGCCAGCAUCAAGCCUGCGAAAGACAGUGUGUGUCGGCGCGUUGACGGAUCCCGCGGCGACGAGGUUCCUGACCGAGAUGAAGUGCUGAGCCAGCUCACGCUAGACUCGCGUGCGGCCACCGCAGAUUCUGCGACGUCGAGCACGUCUCCAGACCGGCCGGUCCCGGCACUCUUCUACGUCUUUCAGGACGUCUUUGGGUUGAGGGAGCCGCGGCGGGACUUCCUUACCAGCCUGUCUGCUGUCAGUCUCUGGGCGUUGCUGCUCUUUGGUGCGUCUGAGUCGACGACGGAGUACAAUGCGGAGUUGUCGAUCUGUGUCGUGGACGGUUGGAUCGCGCUGCACAUCGACCGCGCCACCUACGCCCUUGUCACGCAGCUCCGCCAGUCCUUGUUCGAGUGCUUGCGAGGAAAGUACAACAACCCGCAAGACCCUCGAAACAACUCCGCACUGGAGACAGUGACGGCGGUGUGCCGGAGACUCCUGAAGGCACCGGUUCUGGAAAUGGCGGCGGCGAAGUCGCCGGACACCGCAGGCAGCGCAGCAGCAGGGCGGCAGCAGUCUCCAUGGCAGCUGGUCGACAUGGGCUCUAUUGUCGACCCUCUUGUGCACCUGCGGCACGGCGACUUUGGCGAUGGCAGGGCGGCCGCUGUGGCUGGGGAGGAUGCGCUGCUGGACCUAGACAGUGAUGAUGACGGAGAUGAUGAUGAAGACCUUCCCAACUUCAACCCUGUAGACGGGGACGACGACGAUGAUGACAAGAGUUCCACGGCGCAUGGAGGUCGGAUAAAAUGACAGACUCGCGCAGACGCGCCUGCGCGUGGUUGGAUGCUGAGCCUCCUCUUUUCGCCGGUUUUCUAACAUGACAAAUCGGCGCCGCUGCUUGUGGAAACUUCUCCCACCCCCACCCCACCCCCAAUACCCGUGGCAGUACGCUGACGCCGAUACACCGGCGCGUGUGCAUGCUUGUAUAGGUGCUCCGUCUCCCGCAGUAAUGCGCACACACACACACACAAAAGGAAAAGCAAAGAAGACAACUUUGGCGCAUUCGUGCCGUCACCUUGAUCUUCGCGAGCUUUCACGAUGACGACCACGACCACAUCUCUGUCCUGGCAAGCUACUCCUCAUGGCAUUGUGGUGAGAACGGAAAGGGAGACGAGGAGAGGACGGGUGCGACUCUGGGAACAGAUGACUUCACACUCUUGAUAACGAAUCAGGCACAAGGCGGGUCAAGAGAGCGUAAAGGGGUGCCUGGCAUGAGUCGCGCUCACGUCAUUCUCUUGUCAUGUGGAAGAGAGUAAUAUCGUCCGCUGUCUGAACUCUCUACACCAAAAUGUGGGUGCCAAUAUCCCGGUAGCGAUGCAUACUGGCCAGCUUCUCUCUCCUUGCCUUUUUGCUACCACGCAUUGGUGGUGGAGAGAGAGGAUGCAUGCACGUGCACGUGUAUGUGCAUGACGGGCAGGUGAUGAUGGCUUGAUGCCCUUUCCUGCCGCAUCUCGCGCUCCUUCCCUCCCCCAUCCCUUUCUCUCUCUCUCUCAAG
Molecule: unclassified non-coding RNA, 6742 nt
Filed under: Leishmania donovani
Lineage: Eukaryota; Euglenozoa; Kinetoplastea; Trypanosomatida; Trypanosomatidae
Description: gene:LdHU3.34.2020(CDS-product:ATP-dependent_RNA_ helicase-like_protein)
Source: RNAcentral